Molecule: transfer RNA, 71 nt
Filed under: Micrococcus luteus
Lineage: Bacteria; Bacillati; Actinomycetota; Actinomycetes; Micrococcales; Micrococcaceae
Rfam family: tRNA
About the family: Transfer RNA (tRNA) molecules are approximately 80 nucleotides in length. Their secondary structure includes four short double-helical elements and three loops (D, anti-codon, and T loops).
Source: RNAcentral
AUCUUUAGCUCAGUUGGUUAGAGCGUUCGCUUCACACGCGAGAGGUCGCUGGUUCGAGUCCAGUAAGAUCC